This 519-nucleotide ribosomal RNA is filed under the name uncultured Sphingobacterium sp. Its description in RNAcentral is "bacterial SSU rRNA". It matches the Rfam family "Bacterial small subunit ribosomal RNA", at positions 9 to 516 of the family's 1533-position model. Lineage: Bacteria; Pseudomonadati; Bacteroidota; Sphingobacteriia; Sphingobacteriales; Sphingobacteriaceae. The record is from RNAcentral.
GAGUUUGAUCCUGGCUCAGAUUGAACGCUGGCGGCGUGCCUAACACAUGCAAGUCGUGGGGCAGCAGGGUUGUAGCAAUACAAUCGCUGGCGACCGGCAAACGGGUGCGGAACACGUACACAACCUUCCUUUAAGUGGGGAUAGCCCACGGGAAACGUUGGAUUAAUACCCGUACUAUAUAGAGACGGCAUCGUUCUUAUAUUAUAGCAGCAAUGCGCUUGAAGAUGGGUGUGCGGCUGAUUAGAUAGUUGGCGGGGUAACGGCCCACCAAGUCGACGAUCAGUAACUGGUGUGAGAGCACGACCAGUCACACGGGCACUGAGACACGGGCCCGACUCCUACGGGAGGCAGCAGUAAGGAAUAUUGGUCAAUGGACGCAAGUCUGAACCAGCCAUGCCGCGUGGAGGAUGAAGGUCCUCUGGAUUGUAAACUUCUUUUAUCUGGGGAAGAAAUCCACUUUUUCUAGGGUGGUUGACGGUACCAGAUGAAUAAGCACCGGCUAACUCCGUGCCAGCCGCC